CAAACAUUCUUAGAUAUUGGAAAAUUAAUGGACUUUCUUUGUGAGAAGUAGUCGUACAGAUGUAAAAGAAAAUUUUCGAGUUCGAUGGACAUUUAUGCCAGUCAUUUGCUGGUAAAUGUUUUUGAUAUAGAGAUAUCAACUUUUUUUAUGCAUACAAUACUACUAUCUUUUCUUUCUAAGAACAAGUCUUACAGAUGUAAAAGAAAAUCUUUGAGUUUGAGACAUGCAAGCUUUUCAACUGAUUUUUAGUUCGUUCUUAUGCUGACUGUUAUACCACUGUCCCAGGUUAGGGAGGUGGAUCCAAACAUGUUUAACCCCGCCACAUUAUGUAUGUAUUGCCUGUCAAGUCAGAUUCUGUAUUAUUUUUGUAUAAAUAAGACGGUUAGUUUGAUUGUUACAUUGUAUUUUGGGCUUUUAUAACUGACUAUGCGGUUGGGCUUUGUCAUUGUGAAGGCCGUACAUGACCAUACAGUCAAACCUGAUUAAACCGACCCUAAUAAACGGUUACCGUCCAUCGACCGAAAAUGAAAGUCCCUUUUUCUUCUUCAAGUCUUGUUAAUACCCUUAGUAACCGGACCCUGGAUCGAAUCCGUCUAAUUAUGAAGUCCUUGUUUUCAAAAUCCAAUAGGAACAUACCUUUUAUAAUUGUAAAUAAACCAAUGUUCAACGUUUCGAUUGGCCUUCUUCAGUUAUUUAUUAUUCCUCUAAACACAGGCGACAUUUCUUUUUUCAAACAUUGAAAAGAUGUUAUAGGUAAAUGUCCUUGGAAACAUCAUGACGUCAUAAUACUCUAACGUCAUAAUAAAAAUUAUGACGUUAGAGUAUUAACAGGUUUUACUGUAGUUGUUAAUUUCUGUAUAAUUUUGUUCUCUUGUGGACAGUUGUCUCAUUGGCAAUCAUCAUGAUCAUACCACAUCUUUUUUAUAUUUGCAUGUACACGGUAUGCAAUUGUGCCUCUUUCUCUUGAUAUUUUGGUACUGUAAAAUCAGAAAUUAUUGCAAUAUUGUUAAAAACGUGAACAAAAAAAUGGAAGAUUUUAACGACCUUGACAUGUAUGUUAUUAUACAGCCUCUGCACGGUAAUAAAAAAAAAAAAAAAAAAGUGACAGUAUCAUACAUGUUCGUAAUAAUAAAGACUUCUAUUCAUAGUUUCAGAUGUGAUUUUCUUAACAAAAUGUUUGCGAUCACAUUAAUAAGAUCUCAAUUUUAACCAGUCAGCAGUGAUUCUCAAUAAUAAAGAUGUGCAUAUGCAUUAAUUUCUGAAUUUAUAGUAUUAAAUACAAGCAAUCUAUUUGAUGGUGGUACAUGUUCUAUUAAUUCUUAAGGGAAGAUUAUCAGGACUUCUUCAAUUCACCAAAUUAUAUUUUAAAUGCUUCUGCUCUAAAUAGAUGAGAUUGAUUUUAUUGGAAAUUAAUACCCCUAUGGUAUGAAGAUGUGCUUUUAAGACUCUAAUAUCAAAUGAAUAUUGGGUUCUGAAAUAAUUUGCAUAUAAGGCAUAUCAAUCAUUCUGCUUAUGGUACAAAUCUAAUAAGUGCAAAUUUUAAAUAUUUAGCAUUUAAAUAGAUUACACAAAUGUUGUACACCAAAGCCACAGUAAACAAGAGGCUCUCAAGAGCCUGAAUUUUAAAUGUUAUUUUUUUUGCUUAAAUCUUUCAUCAAUGAUUAUUUUUGCUUUUCAAUAUAUAUUAAUGAGUGGCUUAAAAAUGCCAUUUAAAUGUUCAUUGUAUCUGUCAUUUUUUUUUCAAAAGCAAAUAAAUGCAUUUUACCCAUAUCAUAUUGUCUGUGUUUCUUGACGUACAAGGAAAUAAAAUACAAAAUGUAUACUAGAUUCAUUUGAGAAGAUUUUUAAAGUUAAAAAACAUAAACAACUUGUGUAAAAUUGUCCUUAAAGGGCAAUAACUUCUUAAGGGUCAAUUGACAUUUUUUGUCAUAUAAAACUUUUUUGUAGAUCUUACUUUGCUGAACAUUUUUGCUGUUUACAGUUUUAUCUUCAAUAAUAUUCAAGAUAAUAACCAAAGACUGCAAAAUUUCCUUAAAAUAACCAAUUUAGUGACAGCAAUCCAACAAUGGGUUGUUUGAUUCGUCUGAAAAUUCAGAGCUGAUAGAUCUUGACCAAUUGAACAAUUUUACCCCAUGUCAGAUUUGCUCUAAAAGCUUUAGUUUUUGAGAUAUAAGCCAAAACCUACAUUUGACCCCUAUGUUUUAUUUUUAGCAAUGGCGGCCAUGUUUGUAGAUGGAUCAAAACUUUGGAUACAAUUUAUAAACUAGAUACCCUAAGCAACAUUUAGUUAAAGUUUGAAGGUAUUUGGCCCAGUAGUUUUAGAGGAGAAGAUUUUUGAAAUAGUUUACGAUGACGACAGACGACGAUGGACGCCAAGUGAUGGCAUGAGCUCACAUGGGGCUAAAAAUUGAGACAAUUUCCUUGUUAACAAUUUAAAGGGAGAUAAUUUGACUUCUUACGUUAGAUAUCAUGGCCAUGUUUUGUUCAUAACUGGACAUGUAAUGCUUGCAACAUGAUAUUUUCUAAAGCAAUUUCAACAAAGCUUUAUCUGAUUUUUAUUUAAAAAAAUGGUCAUUCACAAAAUUAUUAUCUUUUGUUUUUAAAUGUUUUAAUGAUUUGAUAACUUUCAAAUCCACAAUACACAUUCAUGCAUUUUCCUUUAGAAGGCUUAUAUUCUUACGUCAUUGUUCAGUGACACAGUUGAAACCGUCUUACCUUGGGUAACUCAUUCAUAAAAAGCAUAUGCCAUUGGAGUAAGAUUGACAGCCAAAGCAUAUCAUGAUGUUGCUAAUUAUCAGCUGACAUAUCAAGUUUUUCUUAUUUUUCCAUGGUUGUGUACUCAAGGCAUUUAAAGAAAGUCAUAUUAGAAUAUUCUGUGGUUCAAAUUAGUGUGGGUCAGAGGUCUGGGACCUCUGUCAUUUCUAGCAGAGGAUUUUCAUUUUUAUAAAUUACAAAAGUCGAAAACCUACCAUUCAUUACAAUGAUUCCCUACCAUUCGUUACAAUGAUUCUUUAUACAUGACCAUUGAUUUCUUAUGAGGACCUGUUGCUUAAAAUUUCAAAUGAUCCUAGACCUUUCAUUAUUUAAAGCAAAUUUGAACCCCUGAUAUUGGUUGUGGUCUCCCAUUUAUUGUUUUGAAUUCAAAGUAUGAUAAUUUGUAUUUCUUUGAUAUUUUCCAGGUCAAAAGAUAUCUAAAGAUAAAGAGAGACAUACUGCCAUUGAGGAAUAGAAUUGUGCUACAUUGUUCAAAACAAUACAGAACUUACUCAAGG
This 3272-nucleotide long non-coding RNA is filed under the name Mytilus galloprovincialis (Mediterranean mussel). The record is from RNAcentral. Lineage: Eukaryota; Metazoa; Mollusca; Bivalvia; Mytilida; Mytilidae.